RNAcentral lists this ribosomal RNA (459 nucleotides) under uncultured bacterium. RNAcentral's name for it is "partial 16S ribosomal RNA". It matches the Rfam family "Bacterial small subunit ribosomal RNA", at positions 338 to 795 of the family's 1533-position model. The record is from RNAcentral.
CCUACGGGUGGCAGCAGUGAGGAAUAUUGGUCAAUGGCCGGAAGGCUGAACCAGCCAAGCCGCGUGAAGGAAGAAGGCGCUAAGGAUUGUAAACCUCUUUUGUCAGGGGGCAAAAAGAGUCACGUGUGACUCAUUGAGGGUACCCGAAGAAAAAGCAUCGGCUAACUCCGUGCCAGCAGCCGCGGUAAUACGGAGGAUGCGAGCGUUAUCCGGAUUUAUUGGGUUUAAAGGGUGCGCAGGCGGAGGUGCAAGUCAGCGGUAAAAUUGCGGGGCUCAACCCCGGCCUGCCGUUGAAACUGCAUGCCUUGAGAGCGCGAGAAGUAUGCGGAAUGCGUGGUGUAGCGGUGAAAUGCAUAGAUAUUGCGCAGAACUCCGAUUGCGAAGGCAGCAUACCGGCGGGGAACUGACGCUCAUGCACGAAAGCGUGGGUAUCGAACAGGAUUAGAUACCCCAGUAGUC